AUGAGAGAGGGCAUCAAGUAUCAGAUAAGACUAUUGAGACCUCGAACUCUCAGUGAUGCCUAUUGCUUGGCAAGGGACAUUGAACCUUGUCACCCACCUGUGUCUGUUAUUCAGAAAAAGGCAUUUGUGCCUUAUAACAACUACUAUCAGAAGAAUACAAGUGCCAGCUUAUCUAAACAGCUACACACUCAUGUGUUACCUCAGGCUCCAACUGGCACUAAAUCUGCAGACAAUGUCAACAAUACUGCUCAGAGGAUAAGAAAAGCUGGUGACUGCUGGAGAUGUGGCGACAAAUGGGUACAUGGGCAUAAAUGCACUCUUAUUCCUAAUGUGCAUCUCAUGCAACAAGAGGUGGAUGAUACUGGCCCACUAGAACAAGAAGAGCCACAUCCAGAACAAUCAGAAAAUAUAGAGGAGCAACAUGAACAAGCAAUUUUUAUCUCUGCUUAUGCCCUGGGUCAUCAGUCAACGGUGCAAACCCCAACAGUAAUUAUAUCUGUUAAUGGUAAGAGAGCUAUAGCUCUACUAGACUCUAGAAGUUCCUCCUCUUUCAUGAAUGAAAAGUUUGCAAUUAAAUCAAACUGUCAUAUGCUGCCCAGAAAACCUAGAGAAAUUUCCAUUGCGGGUGGAGGUACACUAAUAUCUGCAACUGUAGUACCAAAUUGCCCUUUCCAGAUUGCUAAACUAGGAAUGCAACACUCUUUCAAAGUUCUGGAUUUACCUAGCCGUGACAUUAUUCUGGGUUAUGACUGGUUCACCCUUGUCAGCCCAGUCACUUUUGAUGUUCCUAGGCAUCAGUUCAGUUUUACAGUGGAAGGACAGACUAAAGUCACAACAACUAUCUUCAAUACUAAUGAAGAAGUGAAAGAAAUGCAGGCGAAGAAACUCCCAAAAAUGUUGGACAAAGGAAUGCAAGGAUUUCUUAUACAAUUGAACAUCAUCUUAAUGGAAGCUCCUGCCAAUCACUGCAUUCCAGCUGCAGUCCAACAAAUUGUUGGAAGAAUACAAGGAUGUGUUCCAGGAGCCUACAAAGCUACCACCUAG
This 1044-nucleotide ribosomal RNA is filed under the name Triticum aestivum (bread wheat). RNAcentral's name for it is "partial small subunit ribosomal RNA". Lineage: Eukaryota; Viridiplantae; Streptophyta; Magnoliopsida; Poales; Poaceae. The record is from RNAcentral.